UUAACCUAUAUAAAGAAUCAAAAACUUCGCAGGCAUCAAAUGGAAUAGGAAUCGAAUGGCACAAGACUCAUCCUCAAUGCACCAACACACCAAUUUGUGGAGUUCUUUGUAGUAAAGCAUCUAGUUCAUCACUCUCGAAAGUAGAAAUGCCAUGGUUGCUUUUGGAUGCUCGAACGCCCACUUCUAGGCCUACAACAAGUGUAACAUUACGAUGUUGACAGAUGGUGGAAGUGUGUGUUGUAGGGCGGUGCUUCUGGUCUUGUUGUUCGUAUUGUUCUUCUAGUUGCUUGGCAAUGGUGUGGUUCUGCGGAAGCUCCUGCGAAUCUCAAAAGCGACAAGCUAUUGUUUCCUUCCGUUGGUUGUGUAACCACGGAACGGUGGUUGGUGGUUUAGAUUUGUUGUAAUUAUUUUCUUCUUUUGGUGCUGCGGCGGAAGCUCCGAAAUCAGUAGUGCACUGCGGCUAGUUUCUGAGAUUCCCUCAGUGUUUUGUUGUUGUUGUUGUUGUUGUUGUUUUUUUUUUUGGCAUCGAUAGUGUUGACAGUUCUUGUAUUUCUUUACUUAUUCUCUUUGUUUUAGUCUCUCGGUUGUUGUUCAAAGGUGGCCGCUGUGAACGCGGUUGUGUUGCUUGGUCUCUCUUCCUUGCUUUCCUUUGGCCCUUGUGCCUACGGUGCGGAGUUGCAGGGGCUGGAUAUUCUAUGCAAGUCAGAAGUUGUGCUUGGAGCGGCUGGUGGCCGUUGUCACUACAGCGGUGGAGCUUUUAGUCUUGACGUUUGGUGGCGGUGUCCUGGUGGUUGACUGAUUUCUCUUGUUGUUGUUGGCAACCACUUCCAGUGGGUUGCAAAUCCUCUCUCCAGCAAUGCUGAUCUUUUACAGCGCCGGGAUCUCCUUGCCGCAUCCUAGUAUGUGGAAAGGAUCGGCGGCCGUUGGUGGUCUUGGUCGACAUGGCUGGUGGCUGGGCUUCCAAUCCUUCCAAGUGUGCAGUGGAGAGCGGUGUUGAUGCAUCGUAGGCUGCGGUUAGAUCAUUUGCAGUAGCAACCAUUGAUAGACGCUGGCGCAAGCUGUGCUUGACGCUCAAAAGCGAGCUCAUUAUUUCUUGACUGGGUCUUUGAGCUUGAUCUAUGUUAGAAGAUUGGUGUCCAGCUAUUGGUUGCUCACUCCAGUUUCCGUCACUUAAAAACAAAGGUGCAAAUGCAGAAGAGGUCGUCAAGGGCGGGAAUCAAGAAGCUGGUGGGUUGGUUGAGGCUUUUUGCCACACCUGCUCAAUAAACUAGAAGCAAGUCCACUUGAAGAUAGUGCAAGCGCCCUGCUAUUAAAAAUCGUUUUAAGGAGCUAGUUGCUAGCGCCUACUAACUUUUAAUGCACAAUGGUAUUGUUGCUGCUGUCGACUUUCCUGCAGCCUCGUCUCUGCCAUUAUUGUUCUACUAUUGUCCCGGUUUAGACUCUUAGGGAUAGAGACUACUACUGCUUACUCAUACAGAACUAUGAAGCUCCCAUUGUAGCGUUGGAAGUAGCUUUGUGCAUUGCAUAGUGCCUUCUCCAUGAGAUCCAAAGCUAAAGAAGCUUUCUAGUCUGUAAUCAUAAUUGCAUCCAAGAGAAUCUCCAAAGUACUUCACUCUUUUGGAAGAAUUCUCAAGGUGACAACUUUUACACAAGAGACAUUUUAAAAUUGAAUAAAUUUAAGUUGCAUAAAACUAAA
Physcomitrium patens is the source of this 1696-nucleotide non-coding RNA. The record is from RefSeq and is a predicted model, not a curated record. NCBI's taxonomy places the organism in Eukaryota, Viridiplantae, Streptophyta, Bryopsida, Funariales, Funariaceae.